ACCCGCCAGCCCCUUCCCUCCCGCUGGGAGACUCUCAGGGGAAAGCCCCGCCCUGCACCCACUCACACACACCCCCACACACACACUGAACCCCAGGACCCCGACACUCAUCACACUGCCACUGAAGACGGGAGGGAGCCAGGGGACAGCGCACCGCCAGCUCGGCUCACCCUGGCCACGCGGUGACGCCUGGUGCUGCCGACCCUGGUGCUGCCGCGGGCCUGCUGUGCAGACGGCCCGCCACGGCUCCUGGGACCCACCUCCCACGCGAGCGCAGCAGACAAGCCCAUCUGCAGCUUCUCUGAGAGAAACCUUGAGUGUCCACCGUGUCGGUGAGCGCCAUGGUGACAUGCCCCUCGCGAGGCCGUGGAACCUGGAGCUCCGUGUUUGUCAACAAAGUGCACUCGAGGCAGGGGAUGGCAUUGUACCACUGUGCGGCGAUGCCAGGGGAGACGCCCGUCCCGGGAAACCCUGGCUUCCCUGCGCUGCAGAGCAGUCGGGGCAAGCCGGCGGCCACGGGUGCAGGGACCCCAACGGUGUGGCCACCGCCGGGGGGGCUCCUGGAGGGCUUCCCGGAAACCACGCCCGCUGCACGGCCACACAUGUGUCAGGAACUUCC
RNAcentral lists this long non-coding RNA (619 nucleotides) under Marmota monax (woodchuck). The record is from RNAcentral. Lineage: Eukaryota; Metazoa; Chordata; Mammalia; Rodentia; Sciuridae.